AUUGAACGCUAGCGGGAUGCCUUACACAUGCAAGUCGAACGAGUGGCGAACGGGCGAGUAAUGUAUCGGUACGUGCCCAGUAGCGGGGGAUAAGUACGCGAAAGGGAGCUAAUACCGCACACUAUUGGAGCGGCCGAUAGCGGAUUAGCUGGUUGGUGGGGUAACGGCUCACCAAGGCGCCGAUCCGUAGCUGGUUUGAGAGGAGGACCAGCCACACUGGGACUGGGACACGGCCCAGACUCCUACGGAAGGCGGCAGUGGGGAAUUUUGGACAAUGGGGGAAACCCUGACCCAGCCAUCCCGCGUGUGCGAGGAAGGCCUUCGGGUUGUAAAGCACUUUUGUCAGGAAGGCGGUACCUGCAGAAGAAGCACCGGCUAACUACGUGCCAGCAGCCGCGGUAAUAC
RNAcentral lists this ribosomal RNA (405 nucleotides) under uncultured bacterium. RNAcentral's name for it is "partial 16S ribosomal RNA". It matches the Rfam family "Bacterial small subunit ribosomal RNA", at positions 29 to 526 of the family's 1533-position model. The record is from RNAcentral.